AACGGCCGUACCAUGCUGAAUAUACCGGUUCUCGUUAGAUCACCGAAGUCAAGCAUCAUUGGGCGCGAUCAGUACUUGGGUGGGUGACCACCUGGGAACACCGCGUGCCGUU
Molecule: non-coding RNA, 112 nt
Organism: Caerostris darwini
Lineage: Eukaryota; Metazoa; Arthropoda; Arachnida; Araneae; Araneidae
Source: the annotation of a GenBank genome assembly